This 134-nucleotide ribosomal RNA is filed under the name Otolemur garnettii (small-eared galago). Lineage: Eukaryota; Metazoa; Chordata; Mammalia; Primates; Galagidae. The record is from RNAcentral.
GUCUACAGUCAUACCACCCUGAAUGUGUCCCAUCUCAUCUGAUCUUGGAAGCUGAGCAGAGUUAGGCCUUGUUAGGCCUUUUCUCCCAACUUAUCCAAGUUAGCACUUGGAUAAGAGAAAAGGAGCACCAGACU